GACGAACGCUGGCGGCGUGCUUAACACAUGCAAGUCGAACGGAAAGGCCCUGCUUUUGUGGGGUGCUCGAGUGGCGAACGGGUGAGUAACACGUGAGUAACCUGCCCUUGACUUUGGGAUAACUUCAGGAAACUGGGGCUAAUACCGGAUAGGAGCUCCUGCUGCAUGGUGGGGGUUGGAAAGUUUCGGCGGUUGGGGAUGGACUCGCGGCUUAUCAGCUUGUUGGUGGGGUAGUGGCUUACCAAGGCUUUGACGGGUAGCCGGCCUGAGAGGGUGACCGGCCACAUGGGGACUGAGAUACGGCCCAGACUCCUACGGGAGGCAGCAGUGGGGAAUAUGGCACAAUGGGCGGAAGCCGGAUGCAGCAACGCCGCGUGCGGGAUGACGGCCUUCGGGUUGUAAACCGCUUUCGCCUGUGACGAAGCGUGAGUGACGGUAAUGGGUAAAGAAGCACCGGCUAACUACGUG
Molecule: ribosomal RNA, 468 nt
Filed under: uncultured bacterium
Lineage: Bacteria
Description: partial 16S ribosomal RNA
Rfam family: Bacterial small subunit ribosomal RNA
Source: RNAcentral